Molecule: transfer-messenger RNA, 388 nt
Filed under: Christensenellaceae
Lineage: Bacteria; Bacillati; Bacillota; Clostridia; Christensenellales
Also listed under: 1 other name
Description: Coproplasma stercoravium Standard tmRNA
Rfam family: transfer-messenger RNA
About the family: Bacterial tmRNA, also known as 10Sa RNA or SsrA, is named for its dual tRNA and mRNA-like properties. Its role is to liberate the mRNA from a stalled ribosome. To accomplish this part of the tmRNA is used as a reading frame that ends in a translation stop signal.
Source: RNAcentral
GGGCCUGACACAGUUUCGAUUGCGGGCGGAGGGCGAUGUAAGCAUACCGAAGGCUCGGCUUCGUUAAAACGGAAAUUAAAUUUAAACGCAGAAUCAAAAGAUUCCAAAGUUGUUGCAUUCCCUGCAUACAGGGCUCCUGCAAUGGCUUGCGCCGCUUAAAGUUUAAGCGGUCCGUCGUCUGCGCAUCUCCGCCGCGCGCAGGCGGCGUUAUUCAGGCGGAUAACGGUUUGUGCGGCGUUGCCGCGCCGUAUAAACUGUAAUUUUGCGGCAUGCGUGCGCAUCUCCCCGUCUACCGGGAGCGGCGCAUUAAGUUUAAAGGUAAACUAAGUAUGUAGAAAGCUCGUGCAAACCCCGUAAGACCAGAGUGCAACUCUCUGCAGGUCCACCA